This 457-nucleotide ribosomal RNA is filed under the name uncultured bacterium. RNAcentral describes it as "bacterial SSU rRNA". It matches the Rfam family "Bacterial small subunit ribosomal RNA", at positions 1 to 507 of the family's 1533-position model. The record is from RNAcentral.
AUGUGACGAGUUUGAUCAUGGCUCAGAACAACGCUGGCGGCAUGCCUAACACAUGCAAGUCGAACGAGACUUCGGUCUAGUGGCGGACGGGUGAGUAACGCGUAGGAACCUGCCAAGCAGUGGGGAAUAACAGCUGGAAACGGCUGCUAAUACCGCAUACNCCCUUCGGGGGAAAGAUUUAUCGCUGUUUGAGGGUCCUCGCGUUCGAUUAGCUAGUUGGUGAGGUAACGGCCCACCAAGGCGACGAUCGAUAGCUGGUCUGAGAGGAUGAUCAGCCACACUGGGACUGAGACACGGCCCAGACUCCUACGGGAGGCAGCAGGUGGGAAUAUUGGACAAUGGGGGAAACCCUGAUCCAGCAAUGCCGCGUGCGUGAAGAAGGCCUUAGGGUUGUAAAGCGCUUUCACCUGUGAUGAUGAUGACAGUAGCAGGAGAAGAAGCCCCGGCUAACUCCGUG